CGCUCAGACGAACGCGGGCGGCGUGCCUAAUACAUGCAAGUCGAGCGGACAGAUGGGAGCUUGCUCCCUGAUGUUAGCGGCGGACGGGUGAGUAACACGUGGGUAACCUGCCUGUAAGACUGGGAUAACUCCGGGAAACCGGGGCUAAUACCGGAUGGUUGUUUGAACCGCAUGGUUCAAACAUAAAAGGUGGCUUCGGCUACCACUUACAGAUGGACCCGCGGCGCAUUAGCUAGUUGGUGAGGUAACGGCUCACCAAGGCAACGAUGCGUAGCCGACCUGAGAGGGUGAUCGGCCACACUGGGACUGAGACACGGCCCAGACUCCUACGGGAGGCAGCAGUAGGGAAUCUUCCGCAAUGGACGAAAGUCUGACGGAGCAACGCCGCGUGAGUGAUGAAGGUUUUCGGAUCGUAAAGCUCUGUUGUUAGGGAAGAACAAGUACCGUUCGAAUAGGGCGGUACCUUGACGGUACCUAACCAGAAAGCCACGGCUAACUACGUGCCAGCAGCCGCGGUAAUACGUAGGUGGCAAGCGUUGUCCGGAAUUAUUGGGCGUAAAGGGCUCGCAGGCGGUUUCUUAAGUCUGAUGUGAAAGCCCCCGGCUCAACCGGGGAGGGUCAUUGGAAACUGGGGAACUUGAGUGCAGAAGAGGAGAGUGGAAUUCCACGUGUAGCGGUGAAAUGCGUAGAGAUGUGGAGGAACACCAGUGGCGAAGGCGACUCUCUGGUCUGUAACUGACGCUGAGGAGCGAAAGCGUGGGGAGCGAACAGGAUUAGAUACCCUGGUAGUCCACGCCGUAAACGAUGAGUGCUAAGUGUUAGGGGGUUUCCGCCCCUUAGUGCUGCAGCUAACGCAUAAGCACUCCGCUGGAGUGUG
RNAcentral lists this ribosomal RNA (877 nucleotides) under Bacillus subtilis. RNAcentral's name for it is "bacterial SSU rRNA". It matches the Rfam family "Bacterial small subunit ribosomal RNA", at positions 21 to 873 of the family's 1533-position model. The record is from RNAcentral. Lineage: Bacteria; Bacillati; Bacillota; Bacilli; Caryophanales; Bacillaceae.